UGUAAUGGCGGCUGUGUGCGGGACGCCUUCGGGCGAGCCGAUUUGGCGUUAUCGGUUGACCAAGCCUGUGCACAGCCGCCACCCAU
Molecule: non-coding RNA, 86 nt
Filed under: Pseudomonas lini
Lineage: Bacteria; Pseudomonadati; Pseudomonadota; Gammaproteobacteria; Pseudomonadales; Pseudomonadaceae
Also listed under: 2 other names
Source: RNAcentral